Molecule: long non-coding RNA, 638 nt
Filed under: Marmota monax (woodchuck)
Lineage: Eukaryota; Metazoa; Chordata; Mammalia; Rodentia; Sciuridae
Source: RNAcentral
ACUUCCUCCGCGUGGUCCCGGCCCCCGGGAUUCUGAGCGCUGGGGUCACUGGAGGAUUCCAAGGCUUCUGCCACGUAGGGUUGCAGCGUUUUUCUUCGUUUACGAGAACCGUGAGCCUCUCUGCACCACGACUUUUCCAUCCGAAAAAGGCACACUAAGAUCUGUGUGGAGUCAGCAGUUCAGUGAUGCCUGGUAUACUCCGAACACCCUACUUCAUUCCUGCUGCUUGCAGGGCACCAAGCUCCUUUCCGAGCAGCAACAAAGAUGAACGAGGGAACUUGACAUUUAUUGUGUACCAAGUGGGCCCCUUGUGCCAAAAUGCGAUUAAAAAUGGAUUUCUGCCAGAUUCCUCAUGAGGGAAGUGCAAGAAGCUGAAAGACCGGCUGAGAGUCACCCAGCCAGUAAGCAUGGCAGGACCUGAAACCCAGAUCCGCCCCUCUUUGGACGCUGUGCUCACUUACCAUGCCCAGGUCACACCAUCCUCCCACCCCCGGGCUAGAGCACCUUUCUCUUCCAGUCCCAGCAGCUCGCAAAGCUGAGACUAGAGGCCAGCCUGGACAAUUUAGUGGAACACUUUCUCAAAAAUCUAAAGGGCUGGGGGUGUAGCUCAGUGGUAAAGUGCCCCCAGGUUCUAUCCC